AGUCAAAAAGAGUUCUUGAGCUGAAAAAGAACAAAAACCUUAAAAUAAUAAUGGAUUCAUUUGGAUGUAUAUAUCAAUAGAUAUAACGGCGCUCCUUUUCAAGACUCCAAAGUCAUCAUGAUUAAAGAAAGCAAGAAUGAAUCAUAAAUGAAUUGGCGGACAAGCUUCGAGACUUAUUUUGGGGACAUAUGGCAACUGAGGAAUCACCAUAUGGUUAAAGGACUACCAAAAACUACAUCUCCCAGCUGCUCCCGUGUUGCAAUGAGGGCUUCCCCAAACCAUAUGUUCAAAGGGGUGUCCAGAGCCCUCCAGGUGGCCCUCUCUUGUCGUAUGUCCCUAUCCCUAUUACCUUAAAAGCAAAGUCCUGGGGUGGGGAAUGCAACGUUUGCAGUGGAACAUGUCACGUACACUACCUCACCCAAGAGGAACAUUUGGAACACUUUACGAAAUAUGAUGGGAAAAUUGCAUUACAGUACCGUUAAAGAAUGCGCUAGAAUCAGCGUUCAAAUCGAAGAGAAACAAAUAUAUAUUGGAAUCGAACAACUAGCUCGGUCAUACCUGUUACCUGAGGAAGAGGUGCAAUGGUAUCUGAAGCACCUCCAAGAUGUGUCAGACCGACGGAAGACAGGAACGGGAUAGAAAGGCCGCUGAGAAACGAGUGCAGCGCCAGAAAGAUACCCAAGGUACAAUAUACUUAAUGUACGUUAAAAAAGUAUUUCACAAGUAGUUUGGUUGGGGAUUACUGCUUAGAAGGUGCGAUAGAUGAACUACUAUUUCUCCUUAUCCCAAUCUAGCCAGUCCAACAGACCACGAUGGUCAGGAUGUGUGGUGUUUUUGCCUGGCCCAGAAGAUGAGUGGGUAUCUGAAGUCUUGUGCUACUUGGUCGACCAAUGAAAAACACAUGUUGCAAAACAAUCCCACUAGUAUGAACCCUUCAUUUCACCAAAAACUCAGGCGAAUCUUGUAUUCAGUUUGAUUAAAGUUUUAUCGUGA
Molecule: long non-coding RNA, 993 nt
Organism: Nematostella vectensis (starlet sea anemone)
Lineage: Eukaryota; Metazoa; Cnidaria; Anthozoa; Actiniaria; Edwardsiidae
Exons: 2
Source: RefSeq, a predicted model, not a curated record